GAUGGACGCUAGCGGGAGGCUUAACACAUGCAAGUCGAGGGGCAGCACGUCUUCGGAUGGUGGCGACCGGCGCACGGGUGCGUAACGCGUAUGGAACCUACCCACCGCAGGGGGAUAACCCGCCGAAAGGCGGACUAAUACCCCAUGGUUCCCCGACCCUGCCUGGGGUUGGGGGUAAAGCCUACGGGCGGCGGUGGAUGGCCCUGCGUGCCAUUAGCUGGCUGGUGGGGUAACGGCCCACCAGGGCGACGAUGGCUAGGGGGUCUGAGAGGACGAUCCCCCACACUGGUACUGAGACACGGACCAGACUCCUACGGGAGGCAGCAGUGAGGAAUAUUGGUCAAUGGACGCAAGUCUGGACCAGCCAUGCCGCGUGCAGGAUGACGGCCCUAUGGGUUGUAAACUGCUUUUCCACGGGAAGAACCCUCCGACGUGUCGGAGACUGACGGUACCGUGGGAAUAAGCAUCGGCUAACUCCGUG
This 481-nucleotide ribosomal RNA is filed under the name uncultured bacterium. Its description in RNAcentral is "bacterial SSU rRNA". It matches the Rfam family "Bacterial small subunit ribosomal RNA", at positions 28 to 507 of the family's 1533-position model. The record is from RNAcentral.